RNAcentral lists this ribosomal RNA (253 nucleotides) under uncultured bacterium. RNAcentral describes it as "partial 16S ribosomal RNA". It matches the Rfam family "Bacterial small subunit ribosomal RNA", at positions 524 to 776 of the family's 1533-position model. The record is from RNAcentral.
UACGAGGGGGGCAAAUGUUGUUCGGAAUCACUGGGCGUAAAGGGCGCGUAGGCGGGUUCUUAAGUAAGGUGUUUAAUCCCGGGGCCCAACCCCGGACCGGCACUUUAAACUGGGAAUCUUGAAUAGUGGAGAGGACGGUGGAAUUGGGGGUGUAGCGGUGGAAUGCGUAGAGAUCCCCAAGAACACCAGUUGCGAAGGCGGCCGACUGGACACAUAUUGACGCUGAGGCUCGAAAGCAUGGGGAGCAAACAGG